Molecule: long non-coding RNA, 823 nt
Organism: Nicotiana tabacum (common tobacco)
Lineage: Eukaryota; Viridiplantae; Streptophyta; Magnoliopsida; Solanales; Solanaceae
Source: RefSeq, a predicted model, not a curated record
UCCACGCUGCCGCUUCUUCACCAUCUUUUUUCAGUUUAAGUCUAUAUAUAGCUCAGUAGCAGUUUAUUUAUUAAUUAGAGAGAAUAUGAGUAGUGAUGAAGGGAAAAGCUUGUGAAAUUUUGUAGGAAGUGGAAAGGGGAUGGAUGUUUAGGGGAGCUUUAGGAGUAGGUGGGUUGGAAAGAUAUCAUAUAUUAAUGUUUUAAUAAUAUAAAUUGAAUUCUUUCCUAUGCCACCCAUUCCUGUGGCUUCCCAUCAUUUCUCUCUUUCCUUUUUCUGCAGUUGCUAAAUCACUUGCAUUAUUUGUUUUGUGGUAAGUCAUGUUCUCUUUGAAUGUUUCCUUCCCGGUGUGGACGAGCUUAUUUGAAAUGUCAUAGUGCAACUGAGAAAUGCAGAGGCAAGAUGGUCUAAGCUCUUAUUAGAUUUUUCUGUCCUCAGAAAAGAUGGAAUAACACCAAUUUCCUUAAUGUGGUAAUCUCCAGUGGUCUAUCUUUUUUCUUCUGGCAUCUGAUUACAAAGCUCUAUGAGCGAACACUCUUUUUUCUCAUGUAACCCAAAGAAAAGACUGUUCUAUAUCUUGUUGAAUGAAUGAAACUCAUGGACCAAGAAGUUUUUCUCAUGUAAAAGGGACUACUAGUAAACAUUGGGCUGGGUGAUGGCAAUAGACAGGGGCGUAUCUAGAGUACAGCAUAUGGGUUCGCGGGAAUCUAGUAACUUUUGCGUACAUGUAUUUUUAUUAAAAAAUUUACUAAAUAUUUAACUGGGAACUCAGUUAGUAUUGUAUAUUAAUGUGAGAUUGCAAUAAAAACUCAAAAAUUUUAAAUCA